Non-coding RNA from Procambarus clarkii (red swamp crayfish), 513 nucleotides. The record is from RefSeq and is a predicted model, not a curated record. NCBI's taxonomy places the organism in Eukaryota, Metazoa, Arthropoda, Malacostraca, Decapoda, Cambaridae.
UACAUCGUGUUAAUACAUACAUAGACACACAUCACAAGCAAUAAACGUAUUACCGAACAUUCUGAGAGAUAAACAUAUACAUUAACUAGCACAGCACGAGGAUAAUGGUCGUUAAGCACUGUGACGUCACCAAUAACGCUGUGUUGGGCAAGAAGGUCAGGAGCGGCCGGCGGCUGCCACAGUGUCGGGCUGACAGCCAGCAGACGUAGUUCCUUAGGCGGUGUCCCGCUUCUUACAUCAUUUGCAGCUACACCGGUCAUCAAAAAUCCACACUCGCCUGUUAUGUAAUUCACGGAAGCAAUUAUUUCUGAAUUACUUUGGUUAAGACCGGGUAUUUGGGUCUGGCGCGACAAUCGCCACGAGUCUUCUUGAGAAACUUAAAGUGAACGGAGGACUAGUCAGGCGCACAAGGCACGGAACUAGUUCUGACGUGACGUAGUUGCAAGUCUCGAUAGAGGUGGUUGGACGGUGUUGAACACAGGGCGCCUGACAACGUUGCAGGAAUAUCUGAAA